RNAcentral lists this ribosomal RNA (560 nucleotides) under Debaryomyces sp. QN5. RNAcentral describes it as "eukaryotic LSU rRNA". The stretch from base 170 to 323 matches the Rfam family "5.8S ribosomal RNA". The record is from RNAcentral. Lineage: Eukaryota; Fungi; Ascomycota; Pichiomycetes; Serinales; Debaryomycetaceae.
GGCGAAAAAACCUUACACACAGUGUUUUUUGUUAUUACAAGAACUCUUGCUUUGGUCUGGACUAGAAAUAGUUUGGGCCAGAGGUUUACUAAACUAAACUUCAAUAUUUAUAUUGAAUUGUUAUUUAUUUUAAUUGUCAAUUUGUUGAUUAAAUUCAAAAAAUCUUCAAAACUUUCAACAACGGAUCUCUUGGUUCUCGCAUCGAUGAAGAACGCAGCGAAAUGCGAUAAGUAAUAUGAAUUGCAGAUUUUCGUGAAUCAUCGAAUCUUUGAACGCACAUUGCGCCCUUUGGUAUUCCAAAGGGCAUGCCUGUUUGAGCGUCAUUUCUCUCUCAAACCUUCGGGUUUGGUAUUGAGUGAUACUCUUAGUCGAACUAGGCGUUUGCUUUGAAAUGUAUUGGCAUGAGUGGACUGGAUAGUGCUAUAUGACUUUCAAUGUAUUAGGUUAUCCACUCCGUGAUAAGUUAAAUGGAUAUUUCUCGGAUUCUAGGUCGGCCUACAUAUACAACAAGUUAGACUCAAUCAGGAGACUACCCGCUGACUAAGCUAUCAUAACGGAGA